AUGGCUGUCGUCAGCUCGUGUCGUGAGAUGUUGGGUUAAGUCCCGCAACGAGCGCAACCCCUGCCAUUAAUUGCCAUCAUUUAGUUGGGCACUUUAAUGGGACUGCCGGUGACAAACCGGAGGAAGGUGGGGAUGACGUCAAGUCCUCAUGGCCCUUAUGGCCAGGGCUUCACACGUAAUACAAUGGUCGGUACAGAGGGAAGCCAACCCGCGAGGGGGAGCCAAUCUCAGAAAGCCGGUCGUAGUCCGGAUUGUUGUCUGCAACUCGACAGCAUGAAGUCGGAAUCGCUAGUAAUCGCGGAUCAGCAUGUCGCGGUGAAUACGUUCCCGGGCCUUGUACACACCGCCCGUCACACCAUGGGAGUGGGUUUUACCAGAAGUAGUUAGUCUAUCCGCAAGGGGGACGAUUACCACGGUAGGAUUCAUGACUGGGGUGAAGUCGUAACAAGGUAGCCGUAUCGGAAGGUGCGGCUGGAUCACCUCCUUUCUAGAGAAUAAAUCUCUCUAUAAGCAUUCACACUUAUCAGUUGUUGGUAGCACAAAGAAUUUAAGUAAUUGGCCCUGUUUAGGGUCUGUAGCUCAGCUGGUUAGAGCACCGUGUUGAUAACGCGGGGGUCGUUGGUUCGAGCCCAACCAGACCCACCAGUUUUAAUUAAUAUGUAACUUAAAAUGGGGGAUUAGCUCAGCUGGGAGAGCACCUGCUUUGCAAGCAGGGGGUCAUCGGUUCGAUCCCGUUAUCCUCCACCAAUUCUUUGUAUAAAAAAGGUAAGCCUUAAGCGUUUAUUAAAUUAAAUGUUUAAGGCUAGCUUUUUAGCUAGUAUGUUCUUUAACAAUAUGGAAGAAGUAAAUUAGAAAUCAUAAGAUUGUGAUGAGAUUAUGAUUUCAAAUGGGUAAUGAUUGCAAAAUCAAAUACUAAAUCAACACUUUGCAUCUAAAUUUUAUAUUUAGAUAAAAAGAGUUUUUAAAGUAAGCUUUAGAAGAAACUAUAAUGACCGUCUCAUGCGGGAAAACGUAAGUAGAAAAGGGCUUAGGUUUUAAAGUUAUAGGAUCAAGUGAAUAAGUGCAUAUGGUGAAUGCCUUGGCGAUUACAGGCGAUGAAGGACGUGGUAGUCUGCGAAAUUUUUCGGGGAGCUGGCAAACAAGCUUUGAUCCGGAAGUGUCCGAAUGGGGAAACCCGG
Molecule: small RNA, 1178 nt
Filed under: uncultured bacterium
Lineage: Bacteria
Description: bacterial SSU rRNA
Rfam family: Bacterial small subunit ribosomal RNA (bases 1-487)
Source: RNAcentral